RNAcentral lists this ribosomal RNA (469 nucleotides) under uncultured bacterium. Its description in RNAcentral is "partial 16S ribosomal RNA". It matches the Rfam family "Bacterial small subunit ribosomal RNA", at positions 28 to 507 of the family's 1533-position model. The record is from RNAcentral.
GACGAACGCUGGCGGCGUGCUUAACACAUGCCAGUCGAACGGAAAGGCCCUGCUUGCAGGGUGCUCGAGUGGCGAACGGGUGAGUAACACGUGGGUGAUCUGCCCCUUACUUUGGGAUAAGCCUGGGAAACUGGGUCUAAUACUGGAUAGGACCAUGCUGUAGGUGGUGUGGUGGAAAGAUUAGUUUCGGUAAGGGAUGAGCUCGCGGCCUAUCAGCUUGUUGGUGGGGUAAUGGCCUACCAAGGCGUCGACGGGUAGCCGGCCUGAGAGGGUGGACGGCCACAUUGGGACUGGGAUACGGCCCAGACUCCUACGGGAGGCAGCAGUGGGGAAUAUUGCACAAUGGGCGCAAGCCUGAUGCAGCGACGCCGCGUGGGGGAUGACGGCCUUCGGGUUGUAAACUCCUUUCAGCCAUGACGAAGCCCUUGUGGUGACGGUAGUGGUAGAAGAAGCACCGGCUAACUACGUG